AAUAUUCUUUAUUAUUUUUUCUUACUUUCACGAAAAUACUUGUUUAUUAAAAGCUCAUCGGUGCAAAUAACAAAUAUCGCAAUAUUUUUGCUCCAUGGUUAUAAUGGAAUAUAAAUAUUCUUUCGAAUGUCUUCUUACGUAAUUCGAACGUAAGUAAAAACGGGCAUAGCGAAUAUAUCUACGAAGGGAAAAUCUGCGGUAGAUAGGAUGGAGAAAUGUCGUAAACGAAAUGAGAUCGCUUUAUAUGCAAGAGACGAUCUACGCGUCGAGAUAUAUCGCUUAAAAGCAUAUUAGUAAAUCGAGUGUUUGCUAUUCCGUGCGCAUAGUCUCUUUCUCUUUCUUUUUCUUUCUGUCUUUUCUUUCUGUUUCUUCGUGAUGCAACGACCCUCUUUAUGCACACGAACGAUACAUCUCGCAAAAUUAAUUUUGUCGAAAUGGACGAUCCUUCAUUUUUCUUUUCCACCUUUUAUCGAGUAUACCCACUGUAGUUCACUAAAUUAAUACGGACAAGUUGAGUCGUCAUUUUUUCUAUUAACGCAUGGACGCGUGUAAACGUCCAGAUGAAAGAUUCGAUAGCAGAGAAGCGGUAAUAUACUGUGAAAAAAGAACAGGCAAAAGAGAAAGAGGAAAGGGAGUAUGCAUAUAAAAGGCUAAAAAAUUAGCAAUUAUAAGUUCCGUACAUUAGCAUACGAGAAGGCGUUCGCUCUCACAAAGCCGUUGAGUUUAAUAGCUUCUGCAUGAAAGCAGGAAUUCAUGAAAGAUCGAUGUUAAAUUUUAUCCCUAGGGCUCCUUUGGCAAAGAAGAGAAUGAGAAACGACGAAAAUUACUUUUAGGAACAAAAUAAGAGGAAGAAAAAGUAAAGCCGAAAUAAUAUGAAAUACACAAAAGUAGAAAAAUAAAAUCAAAACGAGACGACAGAUACAACAAGAAACUAAUGCAGAAAUUGAUGAAUAUGAAUCAAACUUCUAAGGACGAAAUAACGACGAGCGGUAAUGAUCAAAGGUCAAACGAGCACGGUCAUAAAGUCAUCACCUUCGACUGCCGUUCGUUGACGCGUAGCAUCGUAAGCAGACAAGAAACGAGUAGAUCUCGCUGAAUGUCACCUCGAUCUGCGGGAAAGAAAUAGGAAAAGAGACAGAAGAGAACCACUUUGCCCGCUAUAUACGAAUACUCAUUCAAGCACACACGUACACGAUGUUGCUUUCAUAUACAUAUACCUUUAUCAAAGCCGACGGAGUCGCUUAGGACGUAAAGGAGCUUGUCAUGUAAAGAGAACAUGUAAUUGCUGGAGAUAUUAGUUCAUAAACAAUUUUGACCCAUUUCACGUAAAACUAGAUACGUACGAUUAUCGAUCAGAAA
This is a long non-coding RNA of Vespula pensylvanica (western yellowjacket), 1359 nucleotides long. RefSeq lists it as uncharacterized. Lineage: Eukaryota; Metazoa; Arthropoda; Insecta; Hymenoptera; Vespidae. The record is from RefSeq and is a predicted model, not a curated record. The transcript has 3 exons.